This 376-nucleotide long non-coding RNA is filed under the name Trifolium pratense (red clover). Its description in RNAcentral is "long non-coding RNA (TPRA_LNC004679)". The record is from RNAcentral. Lineage: Eukaryota; Viridiplantae; Streptophyta; Magnoliopsida; Fabales; Fabaceae.
UCGGAAAAAUAGACCUAACAUCACAGAACAACGCAAACCAGAGUUGCAGGACUGCGAUUUGCGCAUGAGGCGCAAAAGACAGCAUCCACCUGCAGAAUUUUGCAGGUUUUGACCUGCUCACCGCGCAGACCAUAAGUUGAGCUACGUAUAUCGGAUUUCAACGCGUAAACAUGCGUUGGAAAGCUAAGGGAAAGAGCUAUAACUUUUAUGUUGAAGUCAAAAACCAGUUCAGAACACAAAGGGGUCAAACUUUCAUGUUUUUUCUGCAGACUUUAUCAAAAACAGUUUUUCUUAAACUAUAAAAAUUCAAUCUUUGAUUUUCCAAAAACCCAAUUUGAAUCCCAUUAGUCCUAAGACUUCACUAAUCAACACUCAU